CCCUACAUUGUGCAAAUUGAGCAGCCAGG
This 29-nucleotide non-coding RNA is filed under the name Mus musculus (house mouse). The record is from RNAcentral. Lineage: Eukaryota; Metazoa; Chordata; Mammalia; Rodentia; Muridae.